Solenopsis invicta (red fire ant) is the source of this 971-nucleotide long non-coding RNA. RefSeq lists it as uncharacterized. The transcript has 2 exons. NCBI's taxonomy places the organism in Eukaryota, Metazoa, Arthropoda, Insecta, Hymenoptera, Formicidae. The record is from RefSeq and is a predicted model, not a curated record.
AUUUUCUUUAAAGGGGUGUUUCACCUCCUAAAAGUGAGAUUGGUGGGCAUGUAUAAAAAAAUACGUGUAUCCCAUAUUUUUAUCUGUACUACAACAUAUUAAAGGCUCGUCAAAAUCGGAGGAAAACACUUCCGUAGCACACGGACGGGUACGCGUACCAUGCGUGUUUUUAAUUAUUUUUAAGAGACGUUUUUAAUUAUUUUUAGAACAUGUCGGAACAUAACUUUAUCAUACAUCGUUAAAUUUGUAAUAAAAUAAACUUUAUUUUGCUUAUAAAAAAAAUUAAAAUUAAAAAAAAAACAGUUUCGAUGAUAUACGCUUCAAAAGAAAAAAACCGAUUUUUUUUAAAGGGGUGUUUCGUCCUUAAAAGUGCAUUGGACGUAUAAAAAAAUACGUGUGCCUUAUUUUGAUCUGUACUACAACUAUUAAAGGCUCGUCUAAAUCUGAGGCGAACACUUCCCAAAGGUUACUUGUCAGAUUUCCUGCAAUUCCUACAGGGACUCGAUUAAUGAACAGCACUGUACAAAGUAUGUAAUAUUAAUAUUUUUGUAUAAAAAAACUACGCAAUCUAAAAUUCUGUGUACCUAAAUGACGCUGAGAUACAAUAUGCAGACGUGUGAAUGUAAUUUGAUAUAUCUUAUAUAAAAUCAGAAUUCCAGAUAUCUUGUGAAAGACAUUGAUGUGCAAUUUAUAAAAUUGUAUAAAAAUUAUACGAUUUGUGAAAAUUGCUUUUUAUGACGUAUAAGAUCUUGGAUAACUUAUUCAACGAAACACGUAUUCUGAUAUUGAGAAUUGUCUUUUUAUAUUAAAUAUUAUAUUUUAUAGAUGGUAAGUAGUAUUGCUACAUAGUCGCUGUGCGUAAUGAAGUAUUUGAAUAAUAGCGACCAUUGUGCAUUCAACUUUUGCUGUCGUUUUAAUCGAUUUUAACUGUAUUACUGUGAUAAAUAAAAUCAAAUUAAAUAAAUUUCAAA